RNAcentral lists this ribosomal RNA (437 nucleotides) under uncultured Oscillospiraceae bacterium. Its description in RNAcentral is "bacterial SSU rRNA". It matches the Rfam family "Bacterial small subunit ribosomal RNA", at positions 341 to 792 of the family's 1533-position model. Lineage: Bacteria; Bacillati; Bacillota; Clostridia; Eubacteriales; Oscillospiraceae. The record is from RNAcentral.
ACGGAAGGCAGCAGUCGGGAAUAUUGCACAAUGGAGGAAACUCUGAUGCAGUGACGCCGCGUAUAGGAAGAAGGUCUUUGGAUUGUAAACUAUUGUCGACAGGGAAGAAAAAAAUGACAGUACCUGUGGAGGAAGCUCCGGCUAACUACGUGCCAGCAGCCGCGGUAAUACGUAGGGAGCAAGCGUUAUCCGGAUUUAUUGGGUGUAAAGGGUGCGUAGAUGGUUUUGUAAGUUAGUUGUGAAAUCCCUAGGCUUAACCUGGGAACUGCAGCUAAAACUGCAUAACUUGAGUAUGGGAGAGGAAAGCGGAAUUCCUAGUGUAGCGGUGAAAUGCGUAGAUAUUAGGAGGAACACCAGUGGCGAAGGCGGCUUUCUGGACCAAAACUGACAUUGAGGCACGAAAGUGUGGGGAGCAAACAGGAUUAGAUACCCUGGUA